This 446-nucleotide ribosomal RNA is filed under the name uncultured bacterium. Its description in RNAcentral is "partial 16S ribosomal RNA". It matches the Rfam family "Bacterial small subunit ribosomal RNA", at positions 29 to 523 of the family's 1533-position model. The record is from RNAcentral.
AACGAACGCUGGCGGCAGGCUUAACACAUGCAAGUCGAACGCAUCGCGAGAUGAGUGGCAGACGGGUGAGUAACGCGUGGAACAUACCCUUUUCUGCGGAAUAGCUCUGGGAAACUGGAAUUAAUACCGUAUACGCCCUACGGGGGAAAGAUUUAUCGGGGAAGGAUUGGCCCGCGUUGGAUUAGCUAGUUGGUGGGGUAAAGGCCUACCAAGGCGACGAUCCAUAGCUGGUCUGAGAGGAUGAUCAGCCACAUUGGGACUGAGACACGGCCCAAACUCCUACGGGAGGCAGCAGUGGGGAAUAUUGGACAAUGGGCGCAAGCCUGAUCCAGCCAUGCCGCGUGAGUGAUGAAGGCCUUAGGGUUGUAAAGCUCUUUCACCGAUGAAGAUAAUGACGGUAGUCGGAGAAGAAGCCCCGGCUAACUUCGUGCCAGCCGCCGCCGUAA